GACGAACGCUGGCGGCGUGCCUAACACAUGCAAGUCGAGCGAUGAAGCUUCCUUCGGGAAGUGGAUUAGCGGCGGACGGGUGAGUAACACGUGGGUAACCUGCCUUAUAGAGGGGGAUAGCCUUCCGAAAGGAAGAUUAAUWCCGCAUAACAUAUUUUYUUUGCAUGAAGGAAAUAUCAAAGGAGCAAUCCGMUAUAAGAUGGACCCGCGGCGCAUUAGCUAGUUGGUGAGGUAACGGCUCACCAAGGCGACGAUGCGUAGCYGACCUGAGAGGGUGAUCGGCCACAUUGGAACUGAGACACGGUCCAGACUCCUACGGGAGGCAGCAGUGGGGAAUAUUGCGCAAUGGGGGAAACCCKGACGCAGCAACGCCGCGUGAAUGAAGAAGGCCUUAGGGUUGUAAAGUUCUGUCAUAUGGGAAGAUAAUGACGGUACCA
RNAcentral lists this ribosomal RNA (437 nucleotides) under uncultured bacterium. RNAcentral's name for it is "bacterial SSU rRNA". It matches the Rfam family "Bacterial small subunit ribosomal RNA", at positions 28 to 480 of the family's 1533-position model. The record is from RNAcentral.